ACGAACGCUGGCGGCAGGCCUAACACAUGCAAGUCGAGCGGACCUUUCGGGGUCAGCGGCGGACGGGUGAGUAACGCGUGGGAAUAUGCCCUUCUCUACGGAAUAGUCCUGGGAAACUGGGGGUAAUACCGUAUACGCCCUUUGGGGGAAAGAUUUAUCGGGGAAGGAUUAGCCCGCGUUGGAUUAGGUAGUUGGUGGGGUAAUGGCCUACCAAGCCGACGAUCCAUAGCUGGUUUGAGAGGAUGAUCAGCCACACUGGGACUGAGACACGGCCCAGACUCCUACGGGAGGCAGCAGUGGGGAAUCUUAGACAAUGGGGGCAACCCUGAUCUAGCCAUGCCGCGUGAGUGAUGAAGGCCUUAGGGUUGUAAAGCUCUUUCAGCUGGGAAGAUAAUGACGGUACCAGCAGAAGAAGCCCAGGCUAACUCCGUG
This 432-nucleotide ribosomal RNA is filed under the name uncultured bacterium. RNAcentral describes it as "partial 16S ribosomal RNA". It matches the Rfam family "Bacterial small subunit ribosomal RNA", at positions 29 to 507 of the family's 1533-position model. The record is from RNAcentral.